RNAcentral lists this unclassified non-coding RNA (467 nucleotides) under Hevea brasiliensis (rubber tree). The record is from RNAcentral. Lineage: Eukaryota; Viridiplantae; Streptophyta; Magnoliopsida; Malpighiales; Euphorbiaceae.
UGAAGCAUUGGCCCUCUAUGGCCUUAUUGUUGGUAUCAUCCUCUCCUCCCGUGCUGGUCAAUCAAGAGCUGACUAGGAGAGUUCCUUCUUGGUGGUUGCUUUGUCUAGAAAUAUUCUAUUAUGGUUAGAAUGGGAAAUGUUUUACUGAAGAAUUCUUGUCUCCCGUCUGCAGUUUGAUUUUCUGCGAAAUAGAUCGGUUCAGUGCCAUUGCUGUAGACUGUAGUGAAAUGCAGGGUUGGGUAUUAUUUCUUCCCUUAAAUUAAAGUUGUCAUUGCUUCAUCAUUCAUGUUGUAUUAUGUGGAUUUUUUUGAUGUUUUUGUAGGAAGAUUGCCCUUAUUUUCUUGCAUGAGAUACAAUUAAGGGGGCCUUUUAGAAGUCUACUCUGGUUAUUAACCAUUUGUUGCAGCGAUUGACAUAGUCUAGUGGUAUAUUAAACUAGUUUAAUGCCAGUGUUUUUUCUUCGUUGA